RNAcentral lists this ribosomal RNA (465 nucleotides) under uncultured bacterium. RNAcentral describes it as "partial 16S ribosomal RNA". It matches the Rfam family "Bacterial small subunit ribosomal RNA", at positions 28 to 507 of the family's 1533-position model. The record is from RNAcentral.
GACGAACGCUGGCGGCGUGCUUAACACAUGCAAGUCGAACGGAAAGGCCCUGCUUGCAGGGUACUCGAGUGGCGAACGGGUGAGUAACACGUGGGUUAUCUGCCCUGCACUUCGGGAUAAGCCUGGGAAACUGGGUCUAAUACCGGAUAGGAGCCAUUUUUAGGGGGUUGGUUGGAAAGUUUUUUCGGUGUAGGAUGAGCUCGCGGCCUAUCAGCUUGUUGGUGGGGUAAUGGCCUACCAAGGCGGCGACGGGUAGCCGGCCUGAGAGGGUGGACAGCCACAUUGGGACUGAGAUACGGCCCAGACUCCUACGGGAGGCAGCAGUGGGGAAUAUUGCACAAUGGGCGCAAGCCUGAUGCAGCGACGCCGCGUGGGGGAUGACGGCCUUCGGGUUGUAAACUCCUUUCGCUAGGGACGAAGCUUUUUGUGACGGUACCUAGAUAAGAAGCACCGGCUAACUACGUG